This 380-nucleotide ribosomal RNA is filed under the name uncultured eukaryote. RNAcentral's name for it is "partial 18S ribosomal RNA". It matches the Rfam family "Eukaryotic small subunit ribosomal RNA", at positions 592 to 976 of the family's 1831-position model. The record is from RNAcentral.
CAAUAGCGUAUAUUAAAGUUGUUGCAGUUAGAACGCUCGUAGUCGGAUUUCGGGGCGGGGCGACCGGUCUGCCGAUGGGUAUGCACUGGUCGGCGCGUCCUUCCUUCCGGAGACCGUUCCUACUCUUAACUGAGCGGGGGCGGGAGACGGAUCGUUUACUUUGAAAAAAUCAGAGUGUUUCAAGCAGGCAGCUCGCUCUUGCAUGGAUUAGCGUGGGAUAAUGAAAUAGGACUUUGGUGCUAUUUUGUUGGUUUCGAACACCGAAGUAAUGAUUAAAAGGGACAGUCAGGGGCACUCGUAUUCCGCCGAGAGAGGUGAAAUUCUCAGACCAGCGGAAGACGAACCACUGCGAAAGCAUUUGCCAGGGAUGUUUUCACUGA